Molecule: long non-coding RNA, 1123 nt
Filed under: Phoenix dactylifera (date palm)
Lineage: Eukaryota; Viridiplantae; Streptophyta; Magnoliopsida; Arecales; Arecaceae
Description: long non-coding RNA (PDAC_LNC000906)
Source: RNAcentral
AUGCCGGUCUAAUAUCUAUAAGGCGAGAAGAGAGAUUUAUUUGCUAGUCCUAGUCCUAGUUCAGUUCCAAUAAAGAUUACAAGACUAGAAUAGGAAACCUCUCCUAAGAAUUAAAAGAACAGAAGAGCUAGUCUUUAAGAAAAAAGAUCUCAUGAAUGACAUGCCACACUUUAACCAUUCAGAAGUCUGAAUUCAUCGAUCCACAGCUGUUUAUGUAGUGUUGAAAGCCGUGAACGGAACGCCUUUGUGCCCCCACGUAAGCGUAAAUCACAUACUGAGGUUCUUGGCCACAUCAACCGAUUGUUGGCUGAUUUGUCAGAGGCCUCUUCUUUGCAGGGUGGAAGAAAGAGAGGCUCGUCUUGAUCUUACUUCAACCUCUGUUUCUCCUGUGACUGCCUGUCUCUAUAUCGGAUUCUGCAUUCGCUUUUCAGUUCCUGUUCUCGGAUGAUGCUUCGUUCCGCCUUACAGUUCUUGUUCUCGGAUGAUGCUUCGUUCAGUAGGGAAUACUAACGGGAAGCAUCUUCUAGACACUAAAUCCUCCAUUACCCUUGUGAGUGCCUGGCAAUUAAAAAUUUAUUUUAGAACGAAAGUUAGCAACCUAAAAGUGACCAAUAAUAACCAGCACUGGCUACAUAGAUUUGAUAGCUACGAGGCCGUGGACAAGUCCUGCAUUCAAAUGAGAUACAACCUCCCCUCGGCACCCAGCUUUAGCUAUUAAAGUCCCAUUUCUAGAGAGCCAGGAAUUAUUUUUGCGCCCUCCAAAAAUAUUUUUGAGAUAUCUGGUAAAUUGAAAAUAUUCUGAUUUCUCAAAAAAGUUGAAAACAUCGAGAAAAUCUCCAUAUUGAAGCUUCUCCCCAAAGCUAAAGCUCUACUUAGCUGCAGCUGUUUUUAGUUUAAUAAAACUAACUAAAACACCCACGUUAACAUAUCAUAUUGUAUUAUACUGCAUCUAACUUUAACCAUUAAAUGUCAGCUACGUGGCUGGCCUCCCUGUACGCAUGAGUAUUUAAAUAGAGAGAUGAUACAUCUGAAACAAGAGAAGUAAACAGUUGGGCUUUUACCCUUUCAUGCUGACCACCUGAUGACUGCAAACGAGUUAUCCUCCACCCAUCACAAUGUUCUG